CAAAUGUAAAUAAUUGUUUUCCAUUCAUUGAUUUGCAAGCACCAAUCUCAUACCGUCCACGCGUUGUCUCGUGUAUUGUCUUGCAUACAGCGGCCUUUUACAUCAUCUCCAUCACCACCAUGCCCGAUCUAGGAGACAUCAAGCCUAAAGGACCAAGCAAAUGCAAGCUGUGCUUUCUAAGAUGCUGCUUCUGCUGUGUUCCUAGACCAUCGGUUCCAGGAAAGAAAAAGAAAUGCGGUUGCUGCUGAUAGAAGUGAGAUGUACCAAUGUAAAUAAAGGGAGAGAGGCGUAUAUAAUAUCACAGCGGGAUUACACAUGAGCUAAUCUCUCACACCGGAACCAUCAUCGCAACAUAUGCAUGGCUUGGCAAACUCGUGAUUCACGCCAUGUCAUCAGCAUUCAUCCACCCUCGGACCUGGGGCGAUGUGCCUAGAUAUUGUAAACAGCAAAUUGCGAUGUUAUAAUGUAAUAGAAAGUUCAUGUAUUGGCCCUAUAUUGUAUUGUUGAUGCCUUAUGAAAUGAAUUAAAUUUAUUUUGGGCUUGGUCGAUUGUGUGAAAUUCUCUGGAUGCACUUCUAAAUCAAAUAGUGUCUUGUUAUCAAAGAAUCAUGAAGACAUACAUUAAUUCUGUUCGUUCAAAUUAUUCCCUUUUUUCUGAACUAUCAAGGUAAUAAAGUCUGCAAUUCCUAAAUAGUAGUCAAGAAAGGCGUCAGUGUACGAAGGGGGGGGGGGGGAUAACGAUAAACCAAUCGCGAUUGGAUUAUUUCAUUGUUAAGUUCUCAAUUAAGUCGAUUCUUUUACCCCCUUUUAUUCUCUACCAGGCUUGUAAAAUCAAAGGGGGCCCCUAUCCCCCAUAGCCUUUCCGCACAAUCUCGGAAACAGUGAGUGUAAGUGUUAUACCCAUGCAGGGAGGUAACAGUUUGCCAAAAUUAAUAAAUUAAUAAUUGUCUGUGAGGUUGUGAAUCCCAUCCAAGUUUUAGACAACCUAUUAUUCAUAAGUUUGUUAUAGUUAAUUUGUUUGGCAGCAACCGUUGUGAAUAGCAUGAUCUGUAAAGAUCACAAAGAGAGACGCUAAGAGGGGCACCGGUUCACUCUGGUCGUUCACUUAAUACAUCCGCUCGAUUAAUAGAAAACAUUGACGUUGUGUUAUGUAAAAACGAUAUAAUGUUCAUAACAAUCAACUCACAAUUGGAAUUGUAUAUCAUCGCAGAUUUUGUUUUGCUGAUGGCAAUCACAGAUGAACCUCCGCAUGCUCGCCUGAGGAAUUAGGCCUGCAAUAUAGUACUCGCACAUAAUAUUCGGGCAUAAUCAUAUUUGAUUUGUUGUUGAUUUUCUCACAUUGAUAGAAUACGCUGCAUUAAUGAAGAGUAAAGAGCGGUAUAAAUUCAUUUUUGCUUAGGGACUCUGAGUAGAUGCAUAUACAAAAUCACGUACACUUUACUCCCUUUAGUGUGAAAAAACUGAGCCCCCACCCACAUCUCUUAAAAUAGGAUUUCACAAGUCGUGCACCAUUCGGUGUCUAUAGAUCGUUUUCCUCAAUUAGCAGGCUCAUUCCAAUCAACAAUCUGACCUUGUUAGC
RNAcentral lists this long non-coding RNA (1578 nucleotides) under Lytechinus variegatus (green sea urchin). Its description in RNAcentral is "uncharacterized LOC121419064". The record is from RNAcentral. Lineage: Eukaryota; Metazoa; Echinodermata; Echinoidea; Temnopleuroida; Toxopneustidae.